Long non-coding RNA from Cylas formicarius (sweet potato weevil), 1517 nucleotides. RefSeq lists it as uncharacterized. The record is from RefSeq and is a predicted model, not a curated record. Lineage: Eukaryota; Metazoa; Arthropoda; Insecta; Coleoptera; Brentidae. The transcript is spliced from 3 exons.
UUUUCGGUGAAUUUUUUGUAGGCAUACAGUUUUUGUUUUCCUUUCGUUUAGUUUUCUCAAUAUUCUUAGUAGUAACAUGCCUUUCUGCACUGUCCGGAUGGCUGCCAAUAUAUUCUGAACCGUUCAAUUACGUCUUUGAGGACAAACCAUUAUAUCUACUACGGACGAGGCAUUUAUACCAUAAGAUUGUAAAAGACGCCCAUCGUACAGUUUGAAAAAAAUGCGUAACUUAAAAAAAUGACAUAAAAUUUUCAGAAAACAGACGAGAAAAUGAAACACUUUUGCCACAAAAUGUACACAAUGGACCAGCGGAUAAACUACACUAUCGUACUACACAGCUUUGACCUCCUGUCUUUGCAUGCCUUUGUUUACACUCUUUUGGAAAGUUUGCAAUAAUAAACCUGAUUUUAGAUGUUACUUUUCGCACCGGUGAAGUGAAGCCUUUUCGACUUUGAAAAUUGCUGAAUUCAUUCAUAACCUUUAUGUUGAUAAAAUAUUUUAAAUUUAGCUAUGUAUAUAAAUAAUAAGGAACAAAGAAACGUCUAUUGGGACCAUAAUAAUAGAUUCAAAUCCACACGGCCCGUUAAAUCCUGCAACCUCACGCACUGAUUCGAUAAAAAUAAUGCCACCGAACCCAUUAAAAUUAAGAGUGUAGUUUUCGCGCCGCAGUCCGAGACGUGCCACCAUAUUUGGAGGGCGUGGGAGGAUAGGCGCUCGAUACGGUUAUUGCCCCAAGAAGGUGCUGCACUCUGUACGAGAAACACGGGUUAAUGUGUGUCACAUGUGUGUUCGGAUCGCCAGAGGGGUCACUUAAGGCUGCGAAUAGAUUAUCUCUUUGGGUUACUGAAAACCGCGAGCGGUUAUAUAGCUAUUAGAGGUAUAGAGGCCCUGCUUAUGCCGGUAAUACAGGAACUUCCGAAGCAGCUAUGAAGAAAAACUUAAGAAAAUCCAUUCAUAUGGCCGCUGACAGAUGUUCAGUAACUUUGGAUUCAGCAUUCUGGAAAAACAAGUCUGUUAUAUUUAAAUUUAUUAUAUAUUUAUUAUACCUCACGAGUAGAAUGCCCGACUGUAUCAAGAACUGAAGAUACUUUUAGAUACUUACAAUAUUGACUUAAACGCGUAAUUUUACUAAUUUGAAUUUUUUAGUACGAAUUUAACGUCUAGAAAUCAGAUUCACUCUCGCAGCCUAAGAACCUGUCGGUUGUAAACUACGAUUGAUUCCCUCAAAUCUAGAAUUUUUUAUUUAACCCCAAAAUAGGGGAGAUUUUCUCCAAUAUACAAAUUGAGUGCACAAAGUGAUGAAAAAGUUAAACCCAUUUUAUUAUAAUAAUAAUGAUAAUAAAAACUAAACCUUUGUAACAAUAAUGAGUAAAAAAUGAACCAUUUUAAACGCCUAAAUGGCUAUAAUUCAGCCCCCAAUACAUGAAGCUCCCUGUAUUAGUUGCCGUUAAAGCCAAAAAAGCCUUUACAGAAAUUCAUUAUUAAAGUAAUUACAAAUAUUAUUACAGUACGUACAU